AUGAAAACAUGUGAUCGCCAGGUGUACUCCCAGGUAUCCAGGAUUGUUUUUCUCUUGCUCAUCAGGAACAUGGUAAGACUUUCCAUUUGGUCAGAUCUUAGAAUACUUAUUUUAGUUAACAUUUCAUCACCGAAAAAUAUUGUUCUCAAUAUAUUUAUUACUAAAUAUCUUUUGGGUUUUGUCACUAUCAAAAAGAGAUUUUCCUCCUAUUUUUUUUUUUAUUGGUAGUGAUUGCUUGAAUAGAGAAAGCUAUUGGGUGUUGUAUAUUUAUGUCAGGUUUUUCUACCUUAGCAAAGUCUUUUAUUUAUUUUGUUUUUGAAAAUUUUUUAUCUUAGAUUUUUUAUCCUUUAAUUAGGAUCAUUUCAUCUUUUCCAGUGCU
This 379-nucleotide long non-coding RNA is filed under the name Felis catus (domestic cat). RNAcentral describes it as "lncRNA (ENSFCAG00000042638.2)". The record is from RNAcentral. Lineage: Eukaryota; Metazoa; Chordata; Mammalia; Carnivora; Felidae.